GACGAACGCUGGCGGCGUGCUUAACACAUGCAAGUCGAACGGAAAGGCCCUGCUUUUGUGGGGUGCUCGAGUGGCGAACGGGUGAGUAACACGUGAGUAACCUGCCCUUGACUUUGGGAUAACUUCAGGAAACUGGGGCUAAUACCGGAUAGGAGCUCCUGCUGCAUGGUGGGGGUUGGAAAGUUUCGGCGGUUGGGGAUGGACUCGCGGCUUAUCAGCUUGUUGGUGGGGUAGUGGCUUACCAAGGCUUUGACGGGUAGCCGGCCGGAGAGGGUGACCGGCCACAUUGGGACUGAGAUACGGCCCAGACUCCUACGGGAGGCAGCAGUGGGGAAUAUUGCACAAUGGGCGGAAGCCUGAUGCAGCAACGCCGCGUGCGGGAUGACGGCCUUCGAGUUGUAAACCGCUUUCGCCUGUGACGAAGCGUGAGUGACGGUAAUGGGUAAAGAAGCACCGGCUAACUACGUG
RNAcentral lists this ribosomal RNA (468 nucleotides) under uncultured bacterium. RNAcentral's name for it is "partial 16S ribosomal RNA". It matches the Rfam family "Bacterial small subunit ribosomal RNA", at positions 28 to 507 of the family's 1533-position model. The record is from RNAcentral.